RNAcentral lists this ribosomal RNA (325 nucleotides) under uncultured eukaryote. Its description in RNAcentral is "partial 18S ribosomal RNA". It matches the Rfam family "Eukaryotic small subunit ribosomal RNA", at positions 1470 to 1796 of the family's 1831-position model. The record is from RNAcentral.
CCCUUAGAUGUCCUGGGCCGCACGCGCGUUACACUGAUGCAUUCAACGAGUUCUACCUUGGCCGAGAGGCCUGGGCAAUCUUUUGAACCUGCAUCGUGAUAGGGAUAGAUUAUUGCAAUUAUUAAUCUUGAACGAGGAAUUCCUAGUAAACGCAGAUCAUCAAUCUGCAUUGAUUACGUCCCUGCCCUUUGUACACACCGCCCGUCGCACCUACCGAUUGAAUGGUCCGGUGAAGCCUCGGGAUUGUGGCGAGUUCCCUUUAUUGGGAGUUUGUCGCGAGAACUUGUCUAAACCUUAUCAUUUAGAGGAAGGUGAAGUCGUAACA